This 1023-nucleotide ribosomal RNA is filed under the name Escherichia coli. RNAcentral's name for it is "partial 23S ribosomal RNA". It matches the Rfam family "Bacterial large subunit ribosomal RNA", at positions 713 to 1735 of the family's 2925-position model. Lineage: Bacteria; Pseudomonadati; Pseudomonadota; Gammaproteobacteria; Enterobacterales; Enterobacteriaceae. The record is from RNAcentral.
ACCCGAAACCCGGUGAUCUAGCCAUGGGCAGGUUGAAGGUUGGGUAACACUAACUGGAGGACCGAACCGACUAAUGUUGAAAAAUUAGCGGAUGACUUGUGGCUGGGGGUGAAAGGCCAAUCAAACCGGGAGAUAGCUGGUUCUCCCCGAAAGCUAUUUAGGUAGCGCCUCGUGAAUUCAUCUCCGGGGGUAGAGCACUGUUUCGGCAAGGGGGUCAUCCCGACUUACCAACCCGAUGCAAACUGCGAAUACCGGAGAAUGUUAUCACGGGAGACACACGGCGGGUGCUAACGUCCGUCGUGAAGAGGGAAACAACCCAGACCGCCAGCUAAGGUCCCAAAGUCAUGGUUAAGUGGGAAACGAUGUGGGAAGGCCCAGACAGCCAGGAUGUUGGCUUAGAAGCAGCCAUCAUUUAAAGAAAGCGUAAUAGCUCACUGGUCGAGUCGGCCUGCGCGGAAGAUGUAACGGGGCUAAACCAUGCACCGAAGCUGCGGCAGCGACGCUUAUGCGUUGUUGGGUAGGGGAGCGUUCUGUAAGCCUGCGAAGGUGUGCUGUGAGGCAUGCUGGAGGUAUCAGAAGUGCGAAUGCUGACAUAAGUAACGAUAAAGCGGGUGAAAAGCCCGCUCGCCGGAAGACCAAGGGUUCCUGUCCAACGUUAAUCGGGGCAGGGUGAGUCGACCCCUAAGGCGAGGCCGAAAGGCGUAGUCGAUGGGAAACAGGUUAAUAUUCCUGUACUUGGUGUUACUGCGAAGGGGGGACGGAGAAGGCUAUGUUGGCCGGGCGACGGUUGUCCCGGUUUAAGCGUGUAGGCUGGUUUUCCAGGCAAAUCCGGAAAAUCAAGGCUGAGGCGUGAUGACGAGGCACUACGGUGCUGAAGCAACAAAUGCCCUGCUUCCAGGAAAAGCCUCUAAGCAUCAGGUAACAUCAAAUCGUACCCCAAACCGACACAGGUGGUCAGGUAGAGAAUACCAAGGCGCUUGAGAGAACUCGGGUGAAGGAACUAGGCAAAAUGGUGCCGUAACU